GUGAGGAAUAUUGGUCAAUGGGCGGAAGCCUGAACCAGCCAUCCCGCGUGAAGGAAGGCGGCCCUAUGGGUUGUAAACUUCUUUAGUACAUGAAGAACAGGAUCUACGCGUAGGUUUAUGACGGUAAUGUACAAAAAAGCAUCGGCUAACUCCGUGCCAGCAGCCGCGGUAAUACGGAGGAUGCGAGCGUUAUCCGGAUUCAUUGGGUUUAAAGGGUACGUAGGUGGCCCUGUAAGUCAGUGGUGAAAAUCUGCUGCUUAACGGUAGGGGUGCCAAUGAUACUGCGGGGCUUGAGUACAGUUGAGGUAGGUGGAAUGUGUAGUGUAGCGGUGAAAUGCAUAGAUAUUACACAGAACUCCGAUUGCGAAGGCAUCUUACUAAGCUACAACUGACACUGAAGCACGAAAGCGUGGGGAUCAAACAGGAUUAGAAACCCGUGUAGUCC
Molecule: ribosomal RNA, 445 nt
Filed under: uncultured bacterium
Lineage: Bacteria
Description: partial 16S ribosomal RNA
Rfam family: Bacterial small subunit ribosomal RNA
Source: RNAcentral